AUUGAACGCUGGCGGCAGGCCUAACACAUGCAAGUCGAGCGGAUGAGAGGAGCUUGCUCCUUGAUUUAGCGGCGGACGGGUGAGUAAUGCCUAGGAAUCUGCCUGGUAGUGGGGGAUAACGUUCCGAAAGGAACGCUAAUACCGCAUACGUCCUACGGGAGAAAGCAGGGGACCUUCGGGCCCUGCGCUAUCAGAUGAGCCUAGGUCGGAUUAGCUAGUUGGUGAGGUAAUGGCUCACCAAGGCGACGAUCCGUAACUGGUCUGAGAGGAUGAUCAGUCACACUGGAACUGAGACACGGUCCAGACUCCUACGGGAGGCAGCAGUGGGGAAUAUUGGACAAUGGGCGAAAGCCUGAUCCAGCCAUGCCGCGUGUGUGAAGAAGGUCUUCGGAUUGUAAAGCACUUUAAGUUGGGAGGAAGGGCAGUAAGUUAAUACCUUGCUGUUUUGACGUUACCAACAGAAUAAGCACCGGCUAACUUCGUGCCAGCCGCCGCCGUAA
RNAcentral lists this ribosomal RNA (500 nucleotides) under uncultured bacterium. RNAcentral describes it as "partial 16S ribosomal RNA". It matches the Rfam family "Bacterial small subunit ribosomal RNA", at positions 30 to 523 of the family's 1533-position model. The record is from RNAcentral.